CCGGCCACUUCCCAAACGGUUUAACGUUUUAAAGGACACAGGGUAUCCGGAAAAUUUUUGCAUUUACAUCAAGAUCAGUAGGCCUGCUGAAACUCCAAAGUCUAUCAACGAUGCCAAAAAAGUAAAGGAAGAGAAAAAGGAACAAAGAGGCUUGCGAGGAGUGAGGACGAAGCGCCACGCAAGUUCACGGACAAGAUCCCGCUCACCACCG
Molecule: ribosomal RNA, 211 nt
Filed under: Chlorarachnion reptans
Lineage: Eukaryota; Cercozoa; Chlorarachniophyceae
Description: partial Eukaryotic large subunit ribosomal RNA
Source: RNAcentral